RNAcentral lists this ribosomal RNA (810 nucleotides) under uncultured bacterium. RNAcentral's name for it is "bacterial SSU rRNA". It matches the Rfam family "Bacterial small subunit ribosomal RNA", at positions 8 to 796 of the family's 1533-position model. The record is from RNAcentral.
AGAGUUUGAUCCUGGCUCAGAACGAACGCUGGCGGCGUGCCUAACACAUGCAAGUCGAACGUGAUUGGAAGCUUGCUUCCAUGAAAGUGGCGCACGGGUGAGUAACGCGUGGAUAACCUGCCCUGGUAUCCGGAAUAACAUCUCGAAAGGGGUGCUAAUACCGGAUAAGCCUACGGGGUCUUCGGACCCUGCAGGAAAAGGUGGCCUCUAUUUAUAAGCUACCGUAUCAGGAUGGGUCCGCGUACCAUUAGCUAGUUGGUGGGGUAAUGGCCUACCAAGGCGACGAUGGUUAGCUGGUCUGAGAGGAUGAUCAGCCACACUGGAACUGAGACACGGUCCAGACUCCUACGGGAGGCAGCAGUGGGGAAUUUUGCGCAAUGGGGGAAACCCUGACGCAGCAACGCCGCGUGAGUGAUGAAGGCUUUCGGGUCGUAAAGCUCUGUCAGUAGGGAAGAAAUGAAAACGGUUAAUACCCGUUUUUCUUGACGGUACCUACAAAGGAAGCACCGGCUAACUCCGUGCCAGCAGCCGCGGUAAUACGGGGGAUGCAAGCGUUAUUCGGAAUUAUUGGGCGUAAAGGGCGCGUAGGCGGUUUAGUCGGUCAGAUGUGAAAGCCCAGGGCUCAACCCUGGACGUGCAUUUGAAACAGCAAGACUUGAGUACGGGAGAGGAAAGCGGAAUUCCUGGUGUAGAGGUGAAAUUCGUAGAUAUCAGGAGGAACACCGAUGGCGAAGGCAGCUUUCUGGACCGAUACUGACGCUGAGGCGCGAAGGCGUGGGUAGCGAACAGGAUUAGAUACCCUGGUAGUCC